Pezoporus occidentalis (night parrot) is the source of this 734-nucleotide long non-coding RNA. RefSeq lists it as uncharacterized. The transcript is spliced from 4 exons. The record is from RefSeq and is a predicted model, not a curated record. NCBI's taxonomy places the organism in Eukaryota, Metazoa, Chordata, Aves, Psittaciformes, Psittacidae.
CCCCAUCCCUGGCAGUGUUCAAGGCCAGGUUGGACACAGGGGCUUGGAGCAAGCUGCUCUAGUGGAAGGUGUCCCUGCCCGUGGCAGGGGGUUGGAGCUGGAUGAGCUUUAGGGUCCCUUCCAACCCAAACCAGUCUGGGAUUCUAUGAUGAUUCUGCAAGUUAGAGCUAAGGCAGUGUUAACCUAAUGACUCUGCUUCUCCCUAUUCAGUUUAGGGAUUUUUUUCCCCUGUUCUUACACCUGUACCUUGGUCCCUCUAGGGUGAGCUGGCUGGGUCAGAAGCCCUUAUAUCACUAAAUUUCCUUCUUCCCCAUCACUGUCCUCAUCUAACCUGCUGCUGCACAGCCCCAUCUAUUGCUGGAUGGCCCAUCUAGGCUGAAGGUCAGAACAGUUGCAAGCCAGGAUGCCCCUGAGCCACAUUCUGAGGUCUCCAGGGUUGCGUUGGCCUCUCCUUUGGCCAAGGAAUCGGCUUCAGGAUGCACUGGAUGCCCUAGUUGAAGGAUGGGAGUACUCUAUCUGGAAGCUCUUCUGAUAGCUGAAGCUCCCAGCUACUACAGCUGUCAGCAAAGCAAGAGGUGCCUGAUGAUGCAGGAAAAAACAACCUGUCACCCUUCAGAGCAGGAAACCCAUUCCGUCAUCCCAAGCCACGACUCACGUGGGAAAGAGAACUUAAAGCACAGUUAUCACAAAGGAGCAGGUUAUUACAGUAAGGAUGAGGUAUGGUCUGUGUGAGU